Small nuclear RNA from Lemur catta (Ring-tailed lemur), 109 nucleotides. The record is from RefSeq and is a predicted model, not a curated record. Lineage: Eukaryota; Metazoa; Chordata; Mammalia; Primates; Lemuridae.
GUGCUUGCUUUGGCAGCACAUAUACUAAAAUUGGAAUGAUUCAGAGAAGAUUAGCAUGGCCUCUGUGCACGAGGAUGACACACAAAUUUGUGAAGCAUUCCAUAUUUUU